RNAcentral lists this ribosomal RNA (615 nucleotides) under uncultured fungus. RNAcentral's name for it is "LSU rRNA". It matches the Rfam family "Eukaryotic large subunit ribosomal RNA", at positions 23 to 664 of the family's 3401-position model. Lineage: Eukaryota; Fungi. The record is from RNAcentral.
ACCCGCUGAACUUAAGCAUAUCAAUAAGCGGAGGAAAAGAAACCAACAGGGAUUGCCCUAGUAACGGCGAGUGAAGCGGCAACAGCUCAAAUUUGAAAUCUGGCGCAAGCACGAGUUGAGAUUUGUAGAGGAUGCUUCUGGGCGGCGGCCGGUCUAAGUUCCUUGGAACAGGACGUCAUAGAGGGUGAGAAUCCCGUAUGCGACCGGUUGGCACCCGUCACGUAGCUCCUUCGACGAGUCGAGUUGUUUGGGAAUGCAGCUCUAAAUGUGAGGGAAAUUCCUUCUAAAGCUAAAUACCGGCCAGAGACCGAUAGCGCACAAGUAGAGUGAUCGAAAGAUGAAAAGCACUUUGAAAAGAGAGUUAAAAAGCACGUGAAAUUGUUGAAAGGGAAGCGCAUGCAACCUAGACUUGGCGGCGGUGUUCCGCCGGUCUUUUGACCGGUCUACUCGCCGCCGGCCGUGCAGCAUCACUUGGGAGCGCCGGAUAUAGGCGCCGGGAAUGUGUCUCCUCGGAGUGUUAUAGCCCGGCGCACAAUACGGCGUCCCCCGAGUGAGGUCCGCGCUUCGGCUAGGAUGCUGGCGUAAUGGUUGUCUGCGGCCCGUCUUGAAACACGG